RNAcentral lists this ribosomal RNA (535 nucleotides) under uncultured bacterium. RNAcentral describes it as "bacterial SSU rRNA". It matches the Rfam family "Bacterial small subunit ribosomal RNA", at positions 287 to 814 of the family's 1533-position model. The record is from RNAcentral.
CUGGUCUGAGAGGACGACCAGCCACACUGGCACUGAGAUACGGGCCAGACUCCUACGGGAGGCAGCAGUGAGGAAUAUUGCGCAAUGGGGGAAACCCUGACGCAGCAACGCCGCGUGUGGGAAGAAGGCCUUCGGGUCGUAAACCACUUUUGCACGGGACGAAAAAGGGAUAUCGAACAAAUAUCCCCGAUGACGGUACCGUGAGAAUAAGCCACGGCUAACUCUGUGCCAGCAGCCGCGGUAAGACAGAGGUGGCAAGCGUUGUUCGGAAUUACUGGGCGUAAAGAGUCUGUAGGUGGUUUGUCAAGUCUUUGGUGAAAGGCCGUAGCUUAACUAUGGGAAUGCCAAAGAGACUGGCAGGCUGGAGGCUGGGAGAGGGAAGCGGAAUUUCUGGUGUAGCGGUGAAAUGCGUAGAUAUCAGAAGGAAGGCCGGUGGCGAAGGCGGCUUCCUGGAACAGUCCUGACACUGAGAGACGAAAGCGUGGGGAGCAAACAGGAUUAGAUACCCUGGUAGUCCACGCCCUAAACGAUGGGU